RNAcentral lists this ribosomal RNA (318 nucleotides) under uncultured Sandonidae. RNAcentral describes it as "bacterial SSU rRNA". The stretch from base 58 to 318 matches the Rfam family "Eukaryotic small subunit ribosomal RNA", at positions 693 to 955 of the family's 1831-position model. Lineage: Eukaryota; Cercozoa; Glissomonadida; Viridiraptoridae. The record is from RNAcentral.
GAUUUCUGGCUUGGCGCGCCGCUUCCGGCGUCUAACGAUUCCGAGUAGGUGCGUGCGCCUUCCAUCCUUCUAGUUAACCGUUAUCUCUUAACUGGGCUGGCGGCAACCUAGAUCUUUUACUUUGAAAAAAUUAGAGUGUUUAAAGCAGGCUUUUGCUGUGAAUACAUUAGCAUGGAAUAAUAAUUUAGGACUUUAUUCCUAUUUUAUUGGUUUCUAGGGGUAAAGUAAUGAUUGAUAGGGAUAGUUGGUGGUGCUAGUAUUCAGCGGCCAGAGGUGAAAUUCUUGGAUUCGCUGAAGACUAACUUAUGAGAAAGCAUU